RNAcentral lists this unclassified non-coding RNA (279 nucleotides) under Hevea brasiliensis (rubber tree). The record is from RNAcentral. Lineage: Eukaryota; Viridiplantae; Streptophyta; Magnoliopsida; Malpighiales; Euphorbiaceae.
CUCUUGAACCCGUCUUUUUUAUCACUUCAUACUUAUCAUUUGUGUAUUAAUUCUUGGUUUGUUUGCUCUUAAAUUGUAUGAUCUCAAAUUUCUCUUUUGAUUUAGAUAGAUAUGAGUGACACAAUGAGGCCAAGGAUAAAGGUUAGGUUUCACUUAGUUUAUGAUAGGGGAUAAUUGAUCAAUUAACCCAAAUCCUUAUUAUCUAUCAAGUUAUCUUUUCUUUUUGGCCUUUUUAAUUAUUAUUAUUGAAUCUUUUUGUUUAGGGGAAGGUGUUGUGUG